This 1144-nucleotide long non-coding RNA is filed under the name Rattus norvegicus (Norway rat). RNAcentral describes it as "long non-coding RNA NONRATT014033". The record is from RNAcentral. Lineage: Eukaryota; Metazoa; Chordata; Mammalia; Rodentia; Muridae.
AGGCAACAGACAUGGUUGUGGUGUCCUGCUCUGUCAGCCUUCCAGACACUGCAGGUGAAGUCAUCGUUCUAUCCAGCAAGAAGGAGGUGGUGGCCACUAUUAGGGAAGAAUACAGAUGUGAUCCCACAGAUGAUGUCAUGGGAGUAGGUCAUGAGCUGCAUGGAUGUCAAACAGCCUGCACACAACCUCAUCUGGGCCAGUGGCAAAGGCACUGCCACUGGAAAAGAAACAGAUGGCAUUGAUGUGAGACUCACGGAAGGUCUGCCCGCACAUCUCUUCUCAGACAUCCCAGGGCUUGGCUGAACCGUCGUUGCAAGCACCAGAGACAAACAGUCUGGUGUCAGGAGGACAGGCUCAUGACGUGUCCAGUGUGUCCAGUUAGUGUGGUUGUCUGUUGGCCUGUGUUCUUGAUGACCUACAGGACACAUGUGGUAACUGUAGAGUUGGUGACUGUCUGAUCAUUGUCCCGGAACCAGCGACAUGACAGAUAAUUUGCAUGUUCUCCCAGCUCACGAUUCGCACACUCAUUUCCUUAGGGAGUUUGGAACAGAUGUUUUCCAGAAUUAUGCCACCAGACAUAAUUCUGGUGAGGUCUGCAUAGGUCAUGACCCAGGAAGAGCACAGGGGAAUGGCAUGGACCUUGUUUGUGGCAUGGCUGUCCCAGAUGAUGAGUUUCCCAUUCUGAGAAGAACUGGCAUAGAGUGUGAAGUCUGUGUAGCAGUGCCUGGCAUUAAUCUUGGCCUGAUGUCCUCUCAGUGUUCACAUCUAGAUUAUGUCCACUGGAUCACUCUUGUUUCUGGUCUGCAAGAGUUGCAUCUGCAUAUGGAUGGGUUUUGAACAUCUUUGAUCCGGUUUUUUACUUGUUCAGCCUCCUCCGGUGCCUGGCCAAGCCCACUCAUCUUUAAGUCUCAACGCUUUUGACAUUCUGCAGAAUCCAUGAUUUUCAUCCGCAAAUGUUUCUGGUCUGGUCUCCCAGACACACGAGUCUAUCUUAGCCUCAGUCUGGCAUGACCAUGCAGGCCUGGUCUUCCCACUCUUGGACUGCAGACAGGAGCCUGUCUACAAGGCAGGUCAGUCCACAUGGAGGUCAGCAACUGGGCCCACCAUUGCUAUCCCCCAGAAAUGGAACGUUUGACCCAUGUUU